RNAcentral lists this ribosomal RNA (591 nucleotides) under Entoloma gelatinosum. Its description in RNAcentral is "SSU rRNA". It matches the Rfam family "Bacterial small subunit ribosomal RNA", at positions 362 to 947 of the family's 1533-position model. Lineage: Eukaryota; Fungi; Basidiomycota; Agaricomycetes; Agaricales; Entolomataceae. The record is from RNAcentral.
UAUUAGUCAAUGCUCGCAAGAGUGAACUAGCUAACUGAAAUCACAUGAGUCACUCUGUUGAUAAUUGUGAUAACGUAAGGGACAAAAAUGAUAUUACCUUACUAUUAGUGUUGUCCAAAACUGGUGCCAGAAGACUCGGUAAGGCCAGAGACGCAAACGUUAGUCGUCUUAAUCAGGCGUAAAGGGUAUGUAGGCUGCUUUAAAAUUUUAAUUUUGUAAUAGCUCUGUAUAAAUAUAAUUUUAUUAAGAUUUAUUUCAGUAAAAAUAAAAUCAAUUAAAGCUAGAAUCAAAUUGAGGAUAAACCAAAUAAUACUUAGUGUAGGGUUGAUAUCUAUAGAUACUAAGGGGAAUACUAAAGGUGAAAGCUUUUUAUCUAGUAAUGAUUGACGCUGAGAAACGAAGGUGAGAAUAGGAAAUAGGAUUAGAUACCCAGAUACCUCUCACUGUCAACGAUGAAUGGUGGUUGUUAGUUUUUUAAAAAACUGGUAACGAUGUUAACACGAUAACCAUUCCGCCUUGCGAGUACGGUUGCAAAACUGAAACCAAAAAAAUUAGUCGGUCUCGAAGCAAACGAAGUGAAGCAUGUUAUUU